RNAcentral lists this ribosomal RNA (253 nucleotides) under uncultured bacterium. RNAcentral's name for it is "partial 16S ribosomal RNA". It matches the Rfam family "Bacterial small subunit ribosomal RNA", at positions 524 to 776 of the family's 1533-position model. The record is from RNAcentral.
UACGUAGGGUGCGAGCGUUAAUCGGAAUUACUGGGCGUAAAGCGUGCGCAGGCGGUUUUGUAAGCUUGAUGUGAAAUCCCCGGGCUUAACCUGGGAACUGCAUUGAGGACUGCAAGGCUAGAGUACGGCAGAGGGGGGUGGAAUUCCACGUGUAGCAGUGAAAUGCGUAGAUAUGUGGAGGAACACCGAUGGCGAAGGCAGCCCCCUGGGCCUGUACUGACGCUCAUGCACGAAAGCGUGGGGAGCAAACAGG